AUAUGCUGAUUUGCUGCUCAAAAUGCUUUAUUUCUAUACAAAAUCAUGAUGUUGAAUUAUAAUGGAUAUAAUAAUCCUGUCCACAGUUUACCUGCUGAUGGUCAAGGUUCUGGUUCCUCUGGUGGUUUUGGUCGGUUGUUGUGUUUGUCUGUGGUCAUACAGAAACCUAAUAAGAGGAUUUCCAGAAGAAGCGUUCGGCUUUCUGCACGUAAAAGCACUGGACCUGGAUGAAGAUCUUUAUGAAGCGAGUGAAAAGAUCCAUACUCUGAUGAUAGAGGACUGUAAAUGGUGUGACGUCGAGAUUUUAGAUGUGCGACCCAUCACAACAGAGAAACCAUGGCUCACGGGCGCAGAGGAUCAGAGUUGUUCAUUCAUUACUCCUGAAGUCACACCACCAUCCUGCCAUCUUACCACAGAUCUCACAAACUUCACUUACGUGUCCUGUGUGCAGCAAGAUCUGCCUUCAGAGGAGCUGCAGACAGAAGCCACAAAACAGGAGUCGGAGAUCUCUGGCUUUUCGAGUGACUACGUCACUUCCGUAGGCACAUAAUUCCUGAAAACGCAGUGUUGUGGUUUCAUACACACCAAAGCAAGCAAGCCAGCAAAGGCGAUCUUAUCACAGAGAUGUUCAGCAAGAUCACAACAUCCUCAUGUCACCAGCGUGUUUGUCAGGGCCCUGCUUCCUUCUGCAAAACAGCUUUUAAAGACGAGAAAUGUUGUGAAAUGCAACUGCAGUAUUUGGUGCUUGAGAUUUUGCAAUAUCUGUCAGGUACUUUAUCUUGGUUUUGCAUGUUAUGCUAGACUUAUCUGGGCAAAAACAUGCAAAAUGUUCUCUCUCAAGGGUAAGACAUGUUCUAGAUGAGAUAUCUCUAUUAUUCAUAUGCUUUACGGGAAACACUUUGCAUUUCAUAUCAUGAACAAUAAACAAUUUAGAACUU
Cyprinus carpio (common carp) is the source of this 938-nucleotide long non-coding RNA. NCBI's taxonomy places the organism in Eukaryota, Metazoa, Chordata, Actinopteri, Cypriniformes, Cyprinidae. The record is from Ensembl.